CGGAAGGUUCGGAUGAAGCAGAUCAAGAACCCAGUGCACCCACAGGUCACCUUUCGUGAGCUUGCCAUGGGGAGGCAGAAAAUGAAGAAGCCAGUGUCCGGGAAGAGCUCCUUGGCCUUCUUGAGGAGCCCCAUGCGGGUUCACCAGGGUUCUCGUUCCGCUUCAUCUGAACCUUUCCG
This 179-nucleotide microRNA precursor is filed under the name Eugenia uniflora (Surinam cherry). Its description in RNAcentral is "miR10223 stem-loop (eun-MIR10223)". Lineage: Eukaryota; Viridiplantae; Streptophyta; Magnoliopsida; Myrtales; Myrtaceae. The record is from miRBase by way of RNAcentral.